CCGCAUAGCAUAGGAAAUGUAUACUAGACUGUUUUCAAAUGACUUCAGCAAUGAAUCCCUGCCACACACACACCAAAAAAACGACAACAAAAUAACUUGCUAUCACCUCUGGAACCAUGACCAAUGUAAAUCUGCUAAUGAUUGUCCCAAGGAAUUGAGUCCAGAUGAAACAGUUUGUCUACCAUAUUGUUUCUCUUUUCUAUUGUCUGAAAUAAUGGUAUUGGUGAGCUUCAUGAAAUCAUCCAGAAAUAAAAAUGACACCCAGUGACUCUUUCAUGUUCUGACUGAAGAUUGAUACAGUAAAAAGAAGAUCUCCAAACUGCGACUAACCGGUUGCAAAACUAUAAAUGACAUGGUGAAGCUGCGCAUCUCUUGACUACGGAUGUUGAUGCACCGUGCCGUAAGAGGAUGCUUGCUGAAGCGGAUAAUGAGGAAUCUGAUGACUCAGAGGAAAGCAGGAGGGUAAUGAAAAGUGCAACAGAAUGAAAAAUUAAGAAAAAGUCAAGUAACGCCUCAAAAGGGAAGCAGGUGUCAUGUCCCCCUUCUCCACCUCCGUUUAUCGCUCACCACCAAAAAGAAAACAUCUGUGUGGAGACACGGCAGCCAGUCCCCCAAUCAACAUCAUCAAAUAUGGAAGUUAAGGUGAACAUUCACCCUACUCCACAGGAUAACCAAACAUUCAGUGGCCUAGAUGGCAAUGGAGUUUCACAGAGAUCGACUCGUUCCUGGUGUCCACCCCUGUGCGUUCUGUGUGUGUACUUUGUGCUGUUUUUGUGAAUAGUCAUAGGUCAGAUGCAUGACAAUUUGUCACAUAAAUAUGUAUUCUGUUUUUGAUAAAUAGUUUGUUCAUAUUGCAGCUCAAUGUUUGUUCAUAUUGCAGCUCUUACCACGGCCUCUCAAAACUCUCAGGGAGUUAGAAGAUCUGAAUGUGUCGUAGGUCUGAAUUUGGUGUCGCAGGAAGCUGUGUCCCUCGAGCUGACACUAUUUUCUUCUAAUCUCUAUACUUUAAAAUGAUUCUUUUUUUUUUAUCUUUACAACAUUUAUUAUGUUCUAUGAUGUAUAAACAUCAUUAUACAACAACAUUAACAUAUAUAUAAUAUCACUGAUACUAGUUUAGAUAAAACAAUCGUAACGUUGUGCUGUCGCUAAGUUUUAUUGGUUCUUACAAACAUCCACGACUAGUGAUGCUAGCUGGCUACAAGCCUCAUCGCUAGCCUUGUUUACAUUUCACAUUUAUCUCAUUUACCGCUGUUUUUUAAAGCAAAUAUGUCAGUUGUUUCUCCGCUUUUGAGUGCACCUGGUGCUGCUAGAACUGGGGGAUGUGGAGAAACAGAUCCGCGAACUACUCGACUUGCAGGCCCAGCUGCUGGAGUGAAGAACCGUGCUGGAAACAUCUUGCGCUUCUGCCUACACAUCCAGGGGUCCAAAGGUGGGUAGCUGGCUUUGACUGAUCAGGAUGAAGUGUAUCGCCUUUUACACUAUAUUGCCGAACAAGCCCAUGGACGUGAAUAUACUUUUGCCAGUUGCAGAGAGGCCAUCGGCAGCUACGUAAAAAAUGCCCCAGCCAGGAAAGGUGGCAAGAAACAUAAUGUGAUUGUUUAUCAGAGUUACGUGGGAUCUCCUACAAGAAUUGGGCGUGAGUCCAAUUUUGGAAUCUCAUUCCUCUCCCUCGCGUGACAUCCUCCAAACAGUACAAUUCUAAUGAGCUUGUAUAUACUGAGAAUUCAAUUGGGAUUUAUUUGAUGUCUGAUUAAUAAAUUGUUUUCUUUGAUUAGUAAUA
This is a long non-coding RNA of Ictalurus punctatus (channel catfish), 1780 nucleotides long. RefSeq lists it as uncharacterized. The transcript is spliced from 5 exons. NCBI's taxonomy places the organism in Eukaryota, Metazoa, Chordata, Actinopteri, Siluriformes, Ictaluridae. The record is from RefSeq and is a predicted model, not a curated record.